This 266-nucleotide ribosomal RNA is filed under the name uncultured bacterium. Its description in RNAcentral is "partial 16S ribosomal RNA". It matches the Rfam family "Bacterial small subunit ribosomal RNA", at positions 89 to 353 of the family's 1533-position model. The record is from RNAcentral.
UGGCGACCGGCGCACGGGUGAGUAACACGUAUCCAACCUGCCGAUGACUCGGGGAUAGCCUUUCGAAAGAAAGAUUAAUACCCGAUGGCAUAGUUCUUCCGCAUGGUGGAACUAUUAAAGAAUUUCGGUCAUCGAUGGGGAUGCGUUCCAUUAGGUUGUUGGCGGGGUAACGGCCCACCAAGCCUUCGAUGGAUAGGGGUUCUGAGAGGAAGGUCCCCCACCAUUGGAACUGAGACACGGUCCAAACUCCUACGGGAGGCAGCAUG